Molecule: ribosomal RNA, 497 nt
Filed under: uncultured bacterium
Lineage: Bacteria
Description: partial 16S ribosomal RNA
Rfam family: Bacterial small subunit ribosomal RNA
Source: RNAcentral
GAUGAACGCUGGCGGCGUGCCUAAUACAUGCAAGUCGAGCGAACAGACGAGGAGCUUGCUCCUCUGACGUUAGCGGCGGACGGGUGAGUAACACGUGGAUAACCUACCUAUAAGACUGGGAUAACUUCGGGAAACCGGAGCUAAUACCGGAUAAUAUAUUGAACCGCAUGGUUCAAUAGUGAAAGACGGUUUUGCUGUCACUUAUAGAUGGAUCCGCGCCGCAUUAGCUAGUUGGUAAGGUAACGGCUUACCAAGGCAACGAUGCGUAGCAGACCUGAGAGGGUGAUCGGCCACACUGGAACUGAGACACGGUCCAGACUCCUACGGGAGGCAGCAGUAGGGAAUCUUCCGCAAUGGGCGAAAGCCUGACGGAGCAACGCCGCGUGAGUGAUGAAGGUCUUCGGCUCGUAAAACUCUGUUAUUAGGGAAGAACAAAUGUGUAAGUAACUAUGCACGUCUUGACGGUACCUAAUCAGAAAGCCACGGCUAACUACGUG